GAUGAAGAACGUAGCGAAAUGCGAUACGUAAUGUGAAUUGCAGAAUUCAGUGAAUCAUCGAGUCUUUGAACGCACAUUGCGCCCCCUGGUAUUCCGGGGGGCAUGCCUGUCCGAGCGUCAUUGCUGCCCUCAAGCACGGCUUGUGUGUUGGGCCUCCGUCCUCCUCGGGGGACGGGCCCGAAAGGCAGCGGCGGCACCGCGUCCGGUCCUCGAGCGUAUGGGGCUUCGUCACCCGCUCUUGUAGGCCCGGCCGGCGCUUGCCGACACAUCAAUCUUUUUUCCAGGUUGACCUCGGAUCAGGUAGGGAUACCCGCUGAACUUAAGCAUAUCAAUAAGCGGAGGA
Molecule: unclassified non-coding RNA, 343 nt
Filed under: soil metagenome
Description: partial contains 5.8S ribosomal RNA, internal transcribed spacer 2, and large subunit ribosomal RNA
Rfam family: 5.8S ribosomal RNA (bases 1-120)
Source: RNAcentral